GUAAAGUCGGGGUUCUCCCGCCCCUCACCGGGAGGGGAACCCGUCCUUACCGAAAACCCCGCGCCCCCCCGCGGGGGGGCGCAACCCUUCAAGAACCACUCUUCUUACCCUUUUGCCGUUGUCUGGGAGGGCGUUCGGCCUUAAAACGAAGGAAACAAGUUCUA
This 164-nucleotide unclassified non-coding RNA is filed under the name uncultured fungus. RNAcentral describes it as "sequence contains ITS1". Lineage: Eukaryota; Fungi. The record is from RNAcentral.